UACGUAGGGUGCAAGCGUUGUCCGGAAUUAUUGGGCGUAAAGAGCUCGUAGGCGGUCUGUCGCGUCUGCUGUGAAAACUCAGGGCUUAACCCUGAGCUUGCAGUGGGUACGGGCAGACUAGAGUGCGGUAGGGGAGACUGGAAUUCCUGGUGUAGCGGUGAAAUGCGCAGAUAUCAGGAGGAACACCGGUGGCGAAGGCGGGUCUCUGGGCCGUAACUGACGCUGAGGCACGAAAGCUAGGGGAGCAAACAGG
This 253-nucleotide ribosomal RNA is filed under the name uncultured bacterium. RNAcentral describes it as "partial 16S ribosomal RNA". It matches the Rfam family "Bacterial small subunit ribosomal RNA", at positions 524 to 776 of the family's 1533-position model. The record is from RNAcentral.